Molecule: unclassified non-coding RNA, 380 nt
Filed under: uncultured Gemmatimonadaceae bacterium
Lineage: Bacteria; Pseudomonadati; Gemmatimonadota; Gemmatimonadia; Gemmatimonadales; Gemmatimonadaceae
Description: contains 16S-23S intergenic spacer region
Source: RNAcentral
UCCGGUUUGGCACCGGCAGUCUUCCCAGAGUCCCCGCCAUGACGCGCUGGCAACUGAGAACGGGGGUUGCGCUCGUUGCGGGACUUAACCCAACAUCUCACGACACGAGCUGACGACAGCCAUGCAGCACCUGUGCAGGAACUCCGAAGAGGGCCUCUGGUUUCUCAGAGGUUUCUCCUGCAUGUCAAGCCUAGGUAAGGUUCUUCGCGUUGCGUCGAAUUAAACCACAUGCUCCACCGCUUGUGCGGGCCCCCGUCAAUUCCUUUGAGUUUCAGCCUUGCGGCCGUACUCCCCAGGCGGGGCACUUACUGCGUUAGCGACGGCACCGGGAGGGUCGCUCCCCCCGACGCCUAGUGCCCAUCGUUUACGGCGUGGACUAC